Schistosoma curassoni is the source of this 45-nucleotide non-coding RNA. The record is from Rfam. NCBI's taxonomy places the organism in Eukaryota, Metazoa, Platyhelminthes, Trematoda, Strigeidida, Schistosomatidae.
AUUCAGCUAACGAGUUCCUAAUAGGACGAAACUCGCGUCCUAGAU